UUUAGAUAUUAUUUUAGUUGAUGGUUAUUGGGUCAAGUUUGUAUUUUCUUAAUUAUUGAGACUUAUGUACCAAAAUAAAACUUAAGUAGGGAGUGUUUGAAAUUAACUUUAAUAAUAAUAAGUUUGGGGAAAGCAGGGUACGACAGUUAGCAACUAUUUUUCCUCUUCUGCCGUUUCAAAGAGAACCUCUCGAUUAAGCUUCAGGUACCGAUUCGACGACCUCUGGCCAUUGAUUCCUGUGGCUCUUUUCGUGUUAGCAUCUUUGGAGAUUUGAGGUAGCUACUAUUAGUUUCUGUGACUGUUGAAAUCUUCUCCAGCCUUAUCUUUAUGCAUUUUUCGCAUUUUGAGAUAUUCAGACUUUUCUUUGAUUUUUGUAUUUAGUGGCUUGUAUUAGUGACUACCAGACAUGGAAUUAUCUAUGUUUUGACUAUACUAGUUUAUUAAUCUACUUUUGAGAUUAUUUGGA
Molecule: long non-coding RNA, 466 nt
Organism: Capsicum annuum
Lineage: Eukaryota; Viridiplantae; Streptophyta; Magnoliopsida; Solanales; Solanaceae
Exons: 2
Source: RefSeq, a predicted model, not a curated record